Molecule: transfer RNA, 90 nt
Filed under: Prosthecobacter dejongeii
Lineage: Bacteria; Pseudomonadati; Verrucomicrobiota; Verrucomicrobiia; Verrucomicrobiales; Verrucomicrobiaceae
Also listed under: 4 other names
Description: tRNA-Ser
Rfam family: tRNA
About the family: Transfer RNA (tRNA) molecules are approximately 80 nucleotides in length. Their secondary structure includes four short double-helical elements and three loops (D, anti-codon, and T loops).
Source: RNAcentral
GGAGAGGUGGUCGAGUGGUUUAUGGCUCCAGUCUUGAAAACUGGCGUGGGGUAAUUCUCACCGUGGGUUCGAAUCCCACCCUCUCCGCCA